RNAcentral lists this ribosomal RNA (253 nucleotides) under uncultured bacterium. Its description in RNAcentral is "partial 16S ribosomal RNA". It matches the Rfam family "Bacterial small subunit ribosomal RNA", at positions 524 to 776 of the family's 1533-position model. The record is from RNAcentral.
UACAGAGGUCCCAAGCGUUGUUCGGAUUCAUUGGGCGUAAAGGGUGCGUAGGUGGCGUGGUAAGUCGGGUGUGAAAUCUCGGAGCUUAACUCCGAAACUGCAUUCGAUACUGCCGUGCUUGAGGACUGGAGAGGAGACUGGAAUUUACGGUGUAGCGGUGAAAUGCGUAGAGAUCGUCAGGAAGACCAGUGGCGAAGGCGGGUCUCUGGCCAGUUCCUGACACUGAGGCGCGAAUGCCAGGGGAGCAACCGGG